RNAcentral lists this transfer RNA (71 nucleotides) under Dendronephthya gigantea. RNAcentral's name for it is "tRNA-Lys". It matches the Rfam family "tRNA". From Rfam's summary of the family: Transfer RNA (tRNA) molecules are approximately 80 nucleotides in length. Their secondary structure includes four short double-helical elements and three loops (D, anti-codon, and T loops). Lineage: Eukaryota; Metazoa; Cnidaria; Anthozoa; Malacalcyonacea; Nephtheidae. The record is from RNAcentral.
GCCCGGUUAGCUCAGUUGGUAGAGCAUCAGACUUUUAAUCUGAGGGCCAUGGGUUCGAGUCCCAUCGGGCU